GAAGAAGGGGAGACAUUUCAGCAUGUGUAUUCUUGUUUGUAUAAUCAAAAGGCUUAAAACCUGCUAUACAGGCAUACAUGACAAAGCUUCUGUCGUCGUUAACUUUUACAAAAAUAUUCUCCUCUGAAACUAACAGGCCAAAUUUAACCAAACUUGGCCACAAUCAUCAUUGGGGUAUCUAGUUUAAAAAUGUGUCCGAUGACCAUGCCAACCAACCAAGAUGGCCGCCAUGGCUAAAUAUAGAACAUAGGGGUAAAAUGUAGAUUUUGGCUUAUAUCUCUGAAACCAAAGCAUUUAAAGCAAAUCUGACAUGGGUUAAAUUGUUCAUUAGGUCAAGAUCUAUCUGCCAUGAAUAUUUCAGACAAAUCAGACAACCCGUUUUUGGGUUGCCGCCCCCGAACUAGUAAUUUUCAGGAAAUUUUGCAGUUUUUGGUUAUUAUCUUGAAUAUCAUUAUAGAUAGAGAUAAACUGUGAACAGCAAUAAUGUUCAGCAAAGUAAGAUCUACAAAUAAGGCAACAUGACCAAAAUCGGCAAAUGACCUCUUAAAGAGUUAUUGUCCUUUAUAGUAAAUUUAUAACCAUUUUUUUAAAUUUUAGUAAUCUUUUAAAAAAAUCUUCUCUGAAACUACUGGGCCAAAUUUAACCAAACUUGGCCACAAUCAUCAAUGGGUAUCUAGUUUUAAAAAAAUUUCCGAUGACAUGGC
This 704-nucleotide long non-coding RNA is filed under the name Mytilus galloprovincialis (Mediterranean mussel). Lineage: Eukaryota; Metazoa; Mollusca; Bivalvia; Mytilida; Mytilidae. The record is from RNAcentral.